UGCCAGCCGCCGCGGUAAUACGGAGGGUGCAAGCGUUAAUCGGAAUCACUGGGCGUAAAGCGCACGCAGGCGGUUUGCUAAGUCAGAUGUGAAAGCCCCGGGCUCAACCUGGGAACUGCAUUUGAUACUGGCAAACUAGAGUAUGGGAGAGAGAAGUAGAAUUCCACAUGUAGCGGUGAAAUGCGUAGAGAUGUGGAGGAAUAUCAGUGGCGAAGGCGACUUCUUGGCCCAAUACUGACGCUCAGGUGCGAAAGCGUGGGGAGCAAACAGGAUUAGAUA
Molecule: ribosomal RNA, 279 nt
Filed under: uncultured bacterium
Lineage: Bacteria
Description: partial 16S ribosomal RNA
Rfam family: Bacterial small subunit ribosomal RNA
Source: RNAcentral